AAAUACACAAAAUAAUAAAAAAUAUAAAUAAUAACAACAAAAAAUAAAAACAAAUAAAGAAAAGAAAGAAAAGAGAAAAAAAAAGGUGGUGUUUAAUACAUUACAACCUGAAAAAUAAAGUGAGACUUACAUGUCAUUAAAGAUAGGAAAAUAGUUACAGAUAAAUUAUUUAAUUUUUUUUUCGUUCCGAAACAACUGAAUCAGUAAAAGGGUAUUGCUAAAAUAAUUGUAUAAAAACAACAAAGAGAUGUCUGGAGUCUAAAUAUUUCCAUCUUCUGUGGAUGUGAAAUUUAUCAAGAAGCAAAAUCAGAUUCACUGCAUAAAACUGUUUCCUUUUAGAUUGUUCAUACUCAAUAAAAGCCAAUACUACAUCCUUUCAAAACAGAACAGGCUACAUUCAUUAUAAAGUUACUCCUGAUAAAACUCAACACAUCUUGCCAGAAUUUCUUUGUAAAUGGACAGUUCCAAGAAACAUUUCAACAGAGUCAUCACAAAAAGAGCGACCAUAACCAUGGAAACAGUUUUCUCCUCUCUUACUGGCCAAUUCAACAACUCAGCCGACCAACCCAGCUUCCGCUCUGCUCGGUGUGAGCCAAUGGCGUGCGAGGCUCAAAUCCCAGCGAGCGCUGACGUCACUCGUCCGGAGUGCGGAGUAUGGCAGUGGAUUCAUGAGCUCCGACAGAAGAACACUUCUUCUCCACGAGCUUUGAUAUGGAAACAAUCUGGCUGGAUUAAACUAGUGCUCCGAGAGAUCCAGGGAUCUUGGCUGGAGUCCAUGCCUUCACAAGCUGUUGAGGAAUCCCUACAUGACGCUGAUGUUUAGUGUUGUCUUUGUAGUGAACUAGCCAGAGACUAAAAUAAGUGCACGCUGAAUUCACCACAGCUUACGGUCUUAAGAACUGGAAUGAAGAAUGGAUGUUAAAGGUGGAGUUAAAUCACAAUAGGACAGAACUGACAGGAAGUGAAGUGGGAGAAAGAGGGGGGCAGGAUCGAGGUCCUGGAGUGAGGAUUUGAGAGGAACGGCGCUGUAUGUCAGCAAGGCUAUCUGCGACGACAGGAUAUUUCAAUCUGAGCGUCCGGACAUGCUGUUGUGAGACUCAGAACUACUCUUCAGUAAGGGUUGCAAGCUCAAGAUGAUCAGAAUAGCACUGAACUCUGAUAAACACACACACACACACACGUCUGACUGUGGAGAAGGAGGUUUCAUGAAGCGCAGUCUGGCUCGUGUUCACUUCUUCUGUUACUGUAGCCUGUGUUUUCAUAAGUUUCCAUGAGGCCAACCACAAGCACUAGACCAGCAGAAUUCAUUCUGAGAUGGGUAAUAUGUUCCUGCUUUUUUCAGCAUCUUUUCUAGGAAGAGAUUUGUGUAUUCUGCCUGAACUGAACAUUAAUACUGCUGUCUCUUUCUUUCUGGAGUUUAUUGACAACACACUAUUCAGUUUUCUACAACUUCUGACUUCUGUAAUGUUUGCUUUAAUGAAAAGACCAAUCUCAAUCUGACUAGCUCGGUGUAAACAGACGUCAGUUUGGGAAUAGAGCUGAAGACUGCUAGCACAUGUUGAUAAUUACUUCACAACUUAACAGUAAUGACCUUUGGUUACCAAAAUAUGAUGAGAAAAAAGCAGCUGCUAGAUUAUAAUAAUGUAUUAUUAAUGCUUUUAACAUCAGCAAACAUCUACAGUACACAGAAUAAUAUUGCUUCAUAUAAUCCAAUUAUAGUCAUUAGACAAUAAUGCUGAGGAUUGUCUUUUAAGUUGUCUUUUAAAACCAUUUAAAAGCUAAAUAUAAACUGAAUGAAGAGUUUGGUUGUGAAUACACUCUUCCUGUAGCAGCAUGCUAAAAUAAAAGAAAACUAAGACAAUGUCUUGGAGAGUUAAACUAGUUUUAAAACCAGAUGAAAAGAAAAUGCAGAUAUAGACUGACACAGAAAAACUGUUUUGUCAUGAAUUGUUCUGUUUAGAUGACAGGUUUUCAUAGAUUAGAGGAACCGUACAGGCAGAAGUCAGAGAGGACCGCAGUUCAUGGUUUCUUUGUCCUUGACUAUAUCUGAAGUGUGAUCGUCUCAGCCUGACGUCCUUGUCCUCGAUCAGUGCUGAGUGCCUUCAGAGAUCCACACAGAAGAGCAGAAGCACUCAAUCUCAACCCAGAGAAGAACUGAAUGUUUACAGCUGUGGACAGAGUCAUUGUUAAUCUCAUUCUCAGUACACGCUGGUGAUUGAAGAGCUAUUAUUCCCCUUUUAUGCAGUAUUCUUUGUACGCUCCAUGUGCCAAGUUAACAGCUCUGAAUCCUUUUAUUAACGUAGUAACAACUACAACUGAUGUCACGUGAACUAUUACAACCUUUCUGGGCUUUGAACCUGGUAGCUGCAUUGCUGCAUGUUCUAGAUCAGAAAGCUCUCGGAUUUCAUCAACAAUAUCUUCAUUUGUGUUCCGGAGGAGGUUUGGAACAACAUGAAGGCGAGUAGUCAAGGACAGAAUUUUUUUAUUUUUGGGGAGCUGUCCCUUUAAUUAUUGCUUCAAUACUUUUAUUUCCGUACUGUUCUGAUCACAGCUGUAUGUAUUGAGAGCUGCAGAUAUGAGUUAUGACUUGCUCUUCUGAAGAAACACAUUCCACCAGCUUCACUCACACACACUUCCACUGAUUCAUUACCCACUGUUCACCUCAGGGGCAUCAGAUCUGUGUUUCAGUCAACCUCUCCUGAUGUACCAGCAGUACCUUUACAAUAGUCCGAAAACACUGGCAUCUAGUCUGUCAAAUCUCCCAAGUUACAGAGUCUUAAUGCCACAUUCUGUCGUCUAUUACUGACCCACAUGCUAGGGUAAAAAAAAAAAAUCAGCCUUCAACGAUUAUGAAAAUACAAUUAUUGCGCGGUAACUGUAAAAAAUAAAAAGGUGACAGGGUCAUCUAACUUCUAAUAUCAACAUUACAUUUCAAGAUAAAAACUCUUUAAAUCUACACUUUACACCACAAUAUGGGCGUUUUGAAAAUGAUGUGGCUUUUCCAUGAAGUGAGUUGUGUGGUCAGCUGUCUAGAACACUGAAUGAUAAAAACUGUGAGACGUCCGUUUAGCAUCAGCUCUGAGAAUCUUUGUCGUUAUAUUAUAAGAGCUGUUUCAGCUCAUGACAGUGUGUUGAUCGCCCUGUGAUUGAUGACCUGAGCUUUAGCUGCUGGCUGACAUCUGCUCCAGGAGUCCAAGCGUCACGUGUCCACUCUAGGGGAGGUUUUUCUCCAUUGUUUUUACAGUGUUACAAUUCAGGAAAUCGUUGAUAUGAAUGUUUGAAAUGUAUUGCUGAAAACACCUCUCAAAGUCUAACUCUAGUAGCCUACUGACCUGUGGAGUUAGGGUGUCAAGUCACCUUUAUUUAUAUAGCGCUUUAAACAAAAUACAUUCCAACUGAACAACAUUCAUUAGGAAAACAGUGUGUCAAUAAUGCAAAAUGAUAGUUAAAGGCAGUUCAUCAUUGAAUUCAGUGAUGUCAUCUUUGUUCAGUUUAAAUUGUUCAGUUUAAAUAAUUUGCAAUCAAGUCAAUGAUAUCGCUGUAGAUGAAGUGACCCCAACUAAGCAAGCCAGAGGCGACAGCGGCAAGGAACCGAAACUCCAUCGGUGACAGAAUGGAGAAAAAAACCUUGGGAGAAACCAGGCUCAGUUGGGGCCAGUUCUCUUCUGACCAGACGAAACCAGUAGUUCAAUUCCAGACUGCAGCAAAGUCAGAUUGUGCAGAAGAAUCAUCUGUUUCCUGUGGUCUUGUCCUGGUGCUCCUCUGAGACAAGGUCUUUACAGGGGAUCUGUAUCUGGGCUCUAGUUGUCCUGGUCUCCGCUGUCUUUCAGGGAUGUAGAGGUCCUUUCUAGGUGCUGAUCCACCAUCUGGUCUGGAUACGUACUGGAUCUGGGCGACUGCAGUGACCCUCUGAUCUGGAUACAGACUGGAUCUUGUGGCUACGGUGACCUCGGAACAAGAGAGAAACAGACUAAUAUUAGCGUAAAUGCCAUUCUUCUAAUGAUGUAGCAAGUACAUCGGGUGUUAUGUGAAGUGUUUCUGGUUCUGGUUUACCUAAUUAAUGCAGCCUAAAAAUCCCUUAACGGAUUUGGAUAUUAACAGCAUAUUAGUAUGUUAUGUGUAUGCCAGGUUAAAGAGAUGGGUCUUUAAUCUAGAUUUAAACUGCAAGAGUGUGUCUGCCUCCCGAACAAUGUUAGGUAGGUUAUUCCAGAGUUUAGGAGCCAAAUAGGAAAAGGAUCUGCCGCCCACAGUUGAUUUUGAUAUUCUAGGUAUUAUCAAAUUGCCUGAGUUUUGAGAACGUAGCGGACGUAGAGGAUUAUAAUGUAAAAGGAGCUCAUUCAAAUACUGAGGUGCUAAACCAUUCAGGGCUUUAUAAGUAAUAAGCAAUAUUUUAAAAUCUAUACGAUGUUUGAUAGGCAGCCAGUGCAGUGUGGACAGGACCGGGCUAAUAUGGUCAUACUUCCUGGUUCUAGUAAGAACUCUUGCUGCUGCAUUUUGGACUAGCUGUAGUUUGUUUACUAAGCGUGCAGAACAGCCACCCAAUAAAGCAUUACAAUAAUCUAACCUUGAAGUCAUAAAUGCAUGGAUUAACAUUUCUGCAUUUGACAUUGAGAGCAUAGGCUGUAAUUUAGAUAUAUUUUUUAGAUGGAAAAAUGCAGUUUUACAAAUGCUAGAAACGUGGCUUUCUAAGGAAAGAUUGCGAUCGAAUAGCACACCUAGGUUCCUAAUUGAUGACGAAGAAUUGACAGAGCAGCCAUCAAGUCUGAGACAGUGUUCUAGGUUAUUACAAGCAGAGUUUUUAGGUCCUAUAAUUAACACAUCCAAUUUUUUAUAUCGACUAUGCAUACCAUUAGUUUUUCAAAUUGGUGUGUUUCACCGGGCCGCGAAGAAAUAUAGAGCUGAGUAUCAUCAGCAUAACAGUGAAAGCUAACACCAUGUUUCCUGAUGAUAUCUCCCAAGGGUAACAUAUAAAGCGUGAAGAGUAGCUGCCCUAGUACUGAGCCUUGAGGUACUCCAUACUGCACUUGAGAUCGAUAUGAUACUUCUUCAUUCACUGCUACGAACUGAUGGCGGUCAUAUAAGUACGAUUUAAACCAUGCUAAUGUACUUCCACUGAUGCCAAAAAUGUGUUCCAGUCAAUGCAAAAGAAUGUUGUGGUCAAUUGUGUCAAACGCAGCACUAAGAUCCAAUAAAACUAGUAGAGAGAUACACCCACGAUCAGAUGAUAAGAGCAGAUCAUUUGUAACUCUAAGGAGAGCAGUCUCAGUACUAUGAUACGGUCUAAAUCCUGACUGGAAAUCCUCACAUAUAUCAUUUUUCUCUAUGAAGGAAUAUAAUUGUGAGGAUACCACCUUUUCUAGUAUCUUGGACAGAAAAGGGAGAUUCGAGAUUGGUCUAUAAUUAACUAGUUCUUUGGGGUCAAGUUGUGGUGUUUAGGGUAGGGUGUUUUCAAUGUAAUAACCAUGCAAGUAAAUCAUGGUCUGAAUCAUGUCUAUAUUAGCUCUUUUUAUCAUUUAACAAAGAUAAGAAAAGCUGACGUUAGAUUCCAUGAUGUGUAACUCUAAACAGGCCGUCGUGUG
RNAcentral lists this long non-coding RNA (5579 nucleotides) under Carassius auratus (goldfish). RNAcentral's name for it is "lncRNA (ENSCARG00000011758.1)". The record is from RNAcentral. Lineage: Eukaryota; Metazoa; Chordata; Actinopteri; Cypriniformes; Cyprinidae.